This 1958-nucleotide ribosomal RNA is filed under the name Listeria monocytogenes. RNAcentral's name for it is "partial 23S ribosomal RNA". It matches the Rfam family "Bacterial large subunit ribosomal RNA", at positions 360 to 2316 of the family's 2925-position model. Lineage: Bacteria; Bacillati; Bacillota; Bacilli; Caryophanales; Listeriaceae. The record is from RNAcentral.
GACGGUAACAGCCCGGUAGUUGAAAUGGCUUUCCCUCCAGAGUGGAUCCUGAGUACGGCGGAACACGUGAAAUUCCGUCGGAAUCCGGGAGGACCAUCUCCCAAGGCUAAAUACUCCCUAGUGACCGAUAGUGAACCAGUACCGUGAGGGAAAGGUGAAAAGCACCCCGGAAGGGGAGUGAAACAGUUCCUGAAACCGUGUGCCUACAAGUAGUUAGAGCCCGUUAAUGGGUGAUAGCGUGCCUUUUGUAGAAUGAACCGGCGAGUUACGAUUUGUUGCAAGGUUAAGCGGAAAAAGCGGAGCCGUAGCGAAAGCGAGUCUGAAUAGGGCGCAUAAGUAACAGGUCGUAGACCCGAAACCAGGUGAUCUACCCAUGUCCAGGAUGAAGGUAAGGUAAUACUUACUGGAGGUCCGAACCCACGCACGUUGAAAAGUGCGGGGAUGAGGUGUGGGUAGCGGAGAAAUUCCAAUCGAACUUGGAGAUAGCUGGUUCUCUCCGAAAUAGCUUUAGGGCUAGCCUCGAGGUAAAGAGUCAUGGAGGUAGAGCACUGUUUGGACUAGGGGCCCUUCUCGGGUUACCGAAUUCAGAUAAACUCCGAAUGCCAUGUACUUAUACUCGGGAGUCAGACUGCGAGUGAUAAGAUCCGUAGUCGAAAGGGAAACAGCCCAGACCACCAGUUAAGGUCCCCAAAUAUAUGUUAAGUGGAAAAGGAUGUGGGGUUGCUUAGACAACCAGGAUGUUGGCUUAGAAGCAGCCACCAUUGAAAGAGUGCGUAAUAGCUCACUGGUCGAGUGACCCCGCGCCGAAAAUGUACCGGGGCUAAACAUAUUACCGAAACUGUGGAUGAACCUCUUUAGAGGUUCGUGGUAGGAGAGCGUUCUAAGGGCGGUGAAGUCAGACCGGAAGGACUGGUGGAGCGCUUAGAAGUGAGAAUGCCGGUAUGAGUAGCGAAAGAAGGGUGAGAAUCCCUUCCACCGAAUAUCUAAGGUUUCCUGAGGAAGGCUCGUCCGCUCAGGGUUAGUCGGGACCUAAGCCGAGGCCGAUAGGCGUAGGCGAUGGACAACAGGUAGAGAUUCCUGUACCAGUGCUAAUUGUUUAACCGAUGGGGUGACACAGAAGGAUAGGGAAUCGCACGAAUGGAAAUGUGCGUCCAAGCAGUGAGUGUGAGAAGUAGGCAAAUCCGCUUCUCGCGAAGCAUGAGCUGUGAUGGGGAAGGAAAUUAAGUACGGAAGUUCCUGAUUUCACGCUGUCAAGAAAAGCCUCUAGGAAGAGUAGUACUGCCCGUACCGCAAACCGACACAGGUAGAUGAGGAGAGAAUCCUAAGGUGAGCGAGAGAACUCUCGUUAAGGAACUCGGCAAAAUGACCCCGUAACUUCGGGAGAAGGGGUGCUCUAUUAGGGUGCAAGCCCGAGAGAGCCGCAGUGAAUAGGCCCAGGCGACUGUUUAGCAAAAACACAGGUCUCUGCAAAACCGUAAGGUGACGUAUAGGGGCUGACGCCUGCCCGGUGCUGGAAGGUUAAGAGGAGUGCUUAGCUUCGGCGAAGGUACGAAUUGAAGCCCCAGUAAACGGCGGCCGUAACUAUAACGGUCCUAAGGUAGCGAAAUUCCUUGUCGGGUAAGUUCCGACCCGCACGAAAGGCGCAACGAUCUGGGCACUGUCUCAACGAGAGACUCGGUGAAAUUAUAGUACCUGUGAAGAUGCAGGUUACCCGCGACAGGACGGAAAGACCCCGUGGAGCUUUACUGCAACCUGAUAUGGAAUGUUUGUACCGCUUGUACAGGAUAGGUAGGAGCCGAAGAGACGUGUGCGCUAGCAUACGAGGAGGCAAUGGUGGGAUACUACCCUGGCUGUAUGACCAUUCUAACCCGCCACGCUUAGCGCGUGGGGAGACAGUGUCAGGUGGGCAGUUUGACUGGGGCGGUCGCCUCCUAAAGAGUAACGGAGGCGCCCAAAGG